AGUGAACGCUGGCGGUAGGCCUAACACAUGCAAGUCGAACGGCAGCACAGGAGAGCUUGCUCUCUGGGUGGCGAGUGGCGGACGGGUGAGGCAUACAUCGGAAUCUGCCCAGUCGUGGGGGUUAACGUAGGGAAACUUACGCUAAUACCGCAUACGUCUUUCGGGUGAAUGAGGGGGAUCGCAAGACCUUUCGCGGUUGGGUGAGCGGAUGUCGGAUUAGCUAGUUGGGGGGGUAAUGGCACACCAAGGCGACGAUCCGAAGCUGGUCUGAGAGGAUGACCCGCCACACUGGAACUGAGACACGGUCCAGACUCCUACGGGAGGCAGCAGUGGGGAAUAUUGCGCAAUGGGCGAAAGCCUGAUCCAGCAAUACCGCGUGAGUGAUGAAGGCCUUCGGGUUGUAAAGCCCUGUUGUUGGGAAAGAAAUAAUGCAGGCUAAUACCCUGUGAUGAUGACGGUACCCAAAGAAUAAGCACCGGCUAACUUCGUG
RNAcentral lists this ribosomal RNA (490 nucleotides) under uncultured bacterium. Its description in RNAcentral is "partial 16S ribosomal RNA". It matches the Rfam family "Bacterial small subunit ribosomal RNA", at positions 29 to 507 of the family's 1533-position model. The record is from RNAcentral.